Long non-coding RNA from Peromyscus eremicus (cactus mouse), 422 nucleotides. RefSeq lists it as uncharacterized. The transcript has 2 exons. The record is from RefSeq and is a predicted model, not a curated record. Lineage: Eukaryota; Metazoa; Chordata; Mammalia; Rodentia; Cricetidae.
UGUGUGCUUUGUCAGGGCAGCUGAGCAGGGAUGGGGCUGCCACCCACCAGAGAUGCUGUAGUUCUGGGAAUGGCCUACAAACAUGUUGGGUGGCCUGGUCCUCAGGACAGAGUGACAGCUCCAGGAGGGACAUGCUACCCAGAGAGCCUCAGUCCUGUCCAGGAGUUCAGCUUCUACCUUUUGCGCAGUAAGGGGGUGUCCUGAGUGACUGCCCUCUGAGCCAAGCAAUGGCCAUUUUUAGGGAGUUCAGCUGCACCUACCACACCACCAAAGAUCAUCUCAGCUUUUUGACACGUCCACCCCAACAUGGAGGGGCAGAGCAAGGCUGAAGUUCUCACCUGAGUAUCCAGCUGCUUGCUUCCUCUCACUGGGCAUUGUGGCCUUGGGGCAGGGGGGAGUACAUAAAGGCCAGGGUGACUAGA